Molecule: ribosomal RNA, 511 nt
Filed under: uncultured bacterium
Lineage: Bacteria
Description: bacterial SSU rRNA
Rfam family: Bacterial small subunit ribosomal RNA
Source: RNAcentral
AUUGAACGCUAGCGAUAGGCCUAACACAUGCAAGUCGAGGGGCAUCACAUGAAGUAGCAAUACGGAUGGUGGCGACCGGCGCACGGGUGAGUAACACGUAUGCAACCUGCCUUCAACAAGGGGAUAACCCGUUGAAAGACGGACUAAUACCCUAUAACACAGGGGUCCCGCAUGGGGAUAUUUGUUAAAGGACAACCGGUUGAAGAUGGGCAUGCGUUCCAUUAGCUAGUUGGCGGGGUAACGGCCCACCAAGGCAACGAUGGAUAGGGGAACUGAGAGGUUUAUCCCCCACACUGGUACUGAGACACGGACCAGACUCCUACGGGAGGCAGCAGUGAGGAAUAUUGGUCAAUGGACGCAAGUCUGAACCAGCCACGUCGCGUGAAGGAAGACGGCCCUACGGGUUGUAAACUUCUUUUGCAAGGGAAUAAAGUGGGCCACGUGUGGCCUUUUGCAAGUACCUUGCGAAUAGGAUCGGCUAACUCCGUGCCAGCAGCCGCGGUAAUUACGC